GUGACAUAGCGACGAUAAAAGUUUGCGAACCCCAGAAAGCUUUAAAGCUGUCUACGGUUGGAAGGGGUCGGCCAGUCAACAACGGCUUGAACUUUUGCGGGAUCAGUUUUGAGGUUACCCUGAUCGAUGACGUGCCCAGGGAGGAAACAGUUGAGACAUGAAACUCACACUUCUUCCCUUUAACAAAGAGACGAUUUUCGAGGAGACGCUGAAGGACUUGCCUGACAUGGUGUUGGUGGUUGGCGACGGAGCAGGAAAAGAUGAGGAUGUCAUCCAAGUAGAUGAAAACGAAAUGGUCGAUGAAAUCUCGGAGCACGUCGUUCACGAGAGCCUGAAACACAGCUGGAGCAUUGGUGAAACCGAAAGGCAUUACAAGAUAUUCGAAAUGGCCCAGCCUUGUGACAGACUGGCGACCGGUCCAGGGUGUACCCCGCAUCUUCCCUUAAGACAGCUGGGAUAGGGGGGAGGGAAGGAGGGAUGGAUGGGUCUGGGUAACUUUCCCCUUCUCUCUGCAUCCAUCGUGUCCUACAGCAGGGCCGGCACAAGAGCUCAACCCAAAUGCAGAUACCAAUAGAGGCAGCGAUCAGAUUCACUGGUUUGAUGAACACAGUUUUAUUGUUGUUUAAUUUAUUCAUCUGACUACUAGAAUAAAAUUGUUUUUGUUUUAAA
Molecule: non-coding RNA, 669 nt
Organism: Neolamprologus brichardi
Lineage: Eukaryota; Metazoa; Chordata; Actinopteri; Cichliformes; Cichlidae
Source: RefSeq, a predicted model, not a curated record